UGUUUAGAGGUCCCUAAAAAAAUCCUCUCUGUAGAACAAAUUUCAGAUUUUACACUACGGAGAGGAUUUUUUAUGGGACCUCUAAAC
Molecule: microRNA precursor, 87 nt
Filed under: Phlebotomus papatasi
Lineage: Eukaryota; Metazoa; Arthropoda; Insecta; Diptera; Psychodidae
Description: microRNA mir-186
Source: RNAcentral